Molecule: ribosomal RNA, 187 nt
Filed under: Methylotenera sp.
Lineage: Bacteria; Pseudomonadati; Pseudomonadota; Betaproteobacteria; Nitrosomonadales; Methylophilaceae
Description: partial 16S ribosomal RNA
Rfam family: Bacterial small subunit ribosomal RNA
Source: RNAcentral
CAGCAUGUCGCGGUGAAUACGUUCCCGGGCCUUGUACACACCGCCCGUCACACCAUGGGAGUGGGUUUUACCAGAAGUAGGUAGUCUAACCGCAAGGGGGGCGCUUACCACGGUAGUAUUCAUGACUGGGGUGAAGUCGUAACAAGGUAGCCGUAUCGGAAGGUGCGGCUGGAUCACCUCCUUUCUA